CACAGUUUAGAGGUCUUAUGAAUUAAUCUCAUGUCAUUCCAAUCUCUGUCCAGCCCUACUAUUCCGACUCUAAUCUGGAUUUCCACAUUGUCUGCAAGUUUGUUUCUGGGCAGUCCUCUGGUUUCCAGAACUGAGGAAGCUUAAGUAUCAAUUUGGACUUGGUAGAGAAAGAGCAUUCACUGGUUAUGAAAUAACUGCAUAUUUGAUUCUCAAAACCACACAGAGGACCUGAGCCAGGUACAGUGUUUUAACAGCCUUGAAGAUGAUCAGCUAUGUGAGAGCAAAACUAAAAUUGAAGGGAAAGGAAUAAGUCAAGCACUAAGGUAGGAAGGGAUGUUUACCUUCACAAUGGAAUUGGUAUUGUCAACGAACAUUUGCCGCCUGCAUGAAUAUGCUUUCCGCUGUUUGUAUCCCUUCCAAAAAGCCUGUGGAAAAGAGCAAGUUAAAAAAUUCCUUUUGUGCAACAGUUUACUGCUUGAUAGAAAGCACAGGAACAGAGUAUGUCUCGGGAGGCACUGUGUUGGGCUACUGUCUGGGGCCCUCUCUUCCAAAUCCCCCGUGGACACCACUGCUGAUGGGUGGACAUGUACUGAGCAGAAUGCUCCAGCUCACAGCUGAGGCUUGUCUCAAACUUGGGGAAAGCACAGUUAGCAGGUAGAAGCUCAGUCUCCUGUUUGAAAGCUUAAUUUAUCAAGGCUCUGAGUGACAAAAAGUAAUA
Molecule: long non-coding RNA, 718 nt
Organism: Canis lupus familiaris (dog)
Lineage: Eukaryota; Metazoa; Chordata; Mammalia; Carnivora; Canidae
Exons: 3
Source: RefSeq, a predicted model, not a curated record